UCGUCAGCUCGUGUCGUGAGAUGUUGGGUUAAGUCCCGCAACGAGCGCAACCCUUGCUAUUAGUUGCUACGCAAGAGCACUCUAAUAGGACUGCCGUUGACAAAACGGAGGAAGGUGGGGACGACGUCAAAUCAUCAUGCCCCUUAUGACCUGGGCUACACACGUACUACAAUGGACAUAAACAGAGGGAAGCAAAACAGCGAUGUGGAGCAAACCCCUAAAAAUGUUCUCAGUUCAGAUUGCAGGCUGCAACCCGCCUGUAUGAAGAUGGAAUUGCUAGUAAUCGCAGAUCAGCAUGCUGCGGUGAAUACGUUCCCGGGCCUUGUACACACCGCCCGUCACACCAUGGGAGCCGGUAAUACCCGAAGUCAGUAGUCUAACCGCAAGGAGGACGCUGCCGAAGGUAGGAUUGGCGACUGGGGUGAAGUCGUAACAAGGUAGCCGUAUCGGAAGGUGCGGCUGGAUCACCUCCUUU
Molecule: ribosomal RNA, 475 nt
Filed under: Escherichia coli
Lineage: Bacteria; Pseudomonadati; Pseudomonadota; Gammaproteobacteria; Enterobacterales; Enterobacteriaceae
Description: bacterial SSU rRNA
Rfam family: Bacterial small subunit ribosomal RNA
Source: RNAcentral